UGGGCUGGCCGUAGGGCCCGGGUCCAACCAACUGGCGGGCAUACAGCCC
Molecule: non-coding RNA, 49 nt
Filed under: unclassified sequences
Description: DUF3800-XI RNA
Rfam family: DUF3800-XI RNA
About the family: Actinobacteria, Firmicutes, Proteobacteria, Spirochaetes (1 example). Nearby to DUF3800
Source: Rfam by way of RNAcentral